GUGCUCACUUUGGCAGCACAUAUACUAAAAUUGGAAAGAUACAGAGAUUAGCAUGGCCCCUGCCAACAAUGACACCCAAAGUUAAAAAGAAAGGAGAUACACAAUCCU
Molecule: small nuclear RNA, 108 nt
Organism: Suncus etruscus (white-toothed pygmy shrew)
Lineage: Eukaryota; Metazoa; Chordata; Mammalia; Eulipotyphla; Soricidae
Source: RefSeq, a predicted model, not a curated record